GCCACCGUGGACCAUGGUGGUCGUCCUCGCUCAAUUGUCCAUACCCGAUAUGACAAGAGGGAGACGGAGGUUCGACUCCUCCCGGUGGCA
Non-coding RNA from Mycena latifolia, 90 nucleotides. NCBI's taxonomy places the organism in Eukaryota, Fungi, Basidiomycota, Agaricomycetes, Agaricales, Mycenaceae. The record is from the annotation of a GenBank genome assembly.